Molecule: long non-coding RNA, 1886 nt
Organism: Triticum aestivum (bread wheat)
Lineage: Eukaryota; Viridiplantae; Streptophyta; Magnoliopsida; Poales; Poaceae
Exons: 2
Source: RefSeq, a predicted model, not a curated record
CGCGACCAAGAGUCCGUGCGAGACGUGAGGUCCUCCGUCGUCCCCCAACCGACAACGGCACAUAGACAGCUAUACGUGACCCGAUCGGAGCCGUCCACCACCCGAACCGACUCCGUGAUCGAGAAUCCACCAAGCACCAACCACCGUCUCUCUUAUAUACGCGUUCCCCUCGCCCCGUUCUCUCCUGCUCCCAGCACCGCCCGUCGCAGGGACGGCUCAUCUUCGUUCCGUCGCGGGGAUCGUGAGAUCUCAUGGGUUAUCUCUUCUUUUUGAUUAAGUGGUGGACGAUUCGCCUCUCCAAAUACAUGUCUAUCCCUUAAGCGAAGGGAUUUUGUGGCCUUCCGUUUGUGACGGCUGAAUCGGUUGAUGCGUCAGAUCCGUCAGUUUAUGCCAUCUGCUUCCUGUUCGCAUGCCCCUGUGGAUGUUUAUCUCCGUGGAACGCCACUCCUGCUGGUUCAUCUUCACUGGUUUAUGAUGCCCACGGCCAACGCCACUGAAAUCUUCUCAGACGAUGGUUGGUGGUUAAGCUGAAGAAUGCUUUCUUGAGGCUUUCUUGUCUCCGCAAGGCGCCAGAAGGAAACUGGCCAUCCGAUAUAUGGUUUCUGUUUGCCGAUCAAAUGAUGUACGUGUUCCCUUCGGCUCACAAGAUGAUGCUGGCCUGUCUCCAAGCAUCACAGAAAGGUAAUUGUGUUGGUAAGCUGAUGAUGCGCAUGUGAGCACAUGCGUAUUGUACUACUUGAUGUACCAGUACAUUGGUAGGCUAGGACGGCCUUUGCCAUGUAGGGUGCGCUCGCCUUGGCAGGCCACGAGACAAUAAAAAGUAUAUUUGGUGGUGUUUGCGGGGUGGAGAUCGCACGGGAACAAUCUAUUUGUUCUACUUUGCCCGGGUUCUCCACCCUGCCAUGUGUCUCUGUCCUUCUCCUGUGUUUGAUUUUGCGGCAUCAACUGAAGUACACCACGAUCGUACAUAGCAAAUAUGUCAGACAGGCCUGGGCGCAGCGGUAACUACGUUGUGAGGAUCAAUUUAACUACGCACGAAGGUACAUCUAACUGCUUCUUUCAGCGUUAUAUCAAUUUAAAUUUGAAGUGACCCUGAAACAUUGGUACCCUUUUCUGAAGGGUCAAUCUGAACUGACCUCGUAGUUGUCGAUCCAAAAAUGCUUGUGCGAGCAACUGUAUAAAUGGUGGACCUUCAGUUUGAUACAAGGUUGAUCAUACCCGUAAUUUUGUACCCUUGCACCCCGAGAAUGAAAAUAGGGAAAUUCCCACCAUCUACUUGCGCAACACGGGCUAAGUGAUCCUGAGAACUUUUAAUAACUCUGCAUAUUUAUUUUAUCUUACCAUGCCGUGUCCGUAGUCUUGUGGUCCUAAGAAGGCGAGUUGCUUGCAUUUCCUGUUGGUUACCAUGAGUACUUCUCUAUGUAUAUACCAUCGGAAGACUUGAUUCCUUUGUGUACAACUAGUUAGUCUUCGAAAUUUAUUUGUAUACUUAGUUACUGGAGCUUGUCCAAAUAUUGCUGCUGCAUCAUACUACCUCACGUGGAAAGUUGGAUUCGUUUUGAGGAUUACUGGAGGCAGAUCUUCAUAUCUAAUGAAGUUGCAGACCAGUUAUGAUUGUCAAUGCCAUUUUCGCUCUUAAGAAAUGUUGCUAGUGUUUGAUAUACUGAAACCUGAAUUGAAGAAUGUGUUGAUAUAUUCUGUAAGGUGCAGGCGCUGCGUCGAGGAAGCCUGGUUAGUUACGCAAUUUCAGCUCGCUGAUUGCCUGCUUAAAUUGCAAUAUGUAAGAUUAGAGAACCCAGCGUGCGGUUUUUUCAUAGCUUAAAAUGUCUUCUGUGAAGACUGACUUAUUAUGAACUGUGAUUCAAUUUAUUGAAUAUUUUUUUACA